UUAGAAAGGAAAUAAAUGGUGGUCCUAGUAUGAAAUCCCUACCCCUAUAACUAAGCGAAAUAUACUGGUUCCGGCGGUUCCGCUUUUUAGUAAUGCCGACAGAACAGUGCAUUCGAGAAUAAUGGCGCCAAAAACGGAACCAUGGACACGUCAAGUGGUAAUGGCGAAUGAGCUGCUUCUCUGAGUUACAGUCACUGAUUUCCAGUUAGAAGUGUUAUGCCUCAUUGGUGAAUACCGCCAAACUCAAAAUCUAGGUAAAAUCACGAUAACACCCUUGGCAAAUGCUGUAAAUAACAUUUUUGUUGGCAAUGAAAUGGAGGUAAUUACAGAAGAUGUAGAGGUGUUUUGGGGCUUCUCUGCGAAAAUAAAACCACCAAAGGUAAA
Molecule: long non-coding RNA, 384 nt
Organism: Nematostella vectensis (starlet sea anemone)
Lineage: Eukaryota; Metazoa; Cnidaria; Anthozoa; Actiniaria; Edwardsiidae
Exons: 2
Source: RefSeq, a predicted model, not a curated record